This 845-nucleotide ribosomal RNA is filed under the name Brachybacterium sp. HG-2F. RNAcentral's name for it is "bacterial SSU rRNA". It matches the Rfam family "Bacterial small subunit ribosomal RNA", at positions 31 to 885 of the family's 1533-position model. The record is from RNAcentral. Lineage: Bacteria; Bacillati; Actinomycetota; Actinomycetes; Micrococcales; Dermabacteraceae.
GAACGCUGGCGGCGUGCUUAACACAUGCAAGUCGAACGAUGACGGUGGUGCUUGCACCAUCUGAUUAGUGGCGAACGGGUGAGUAACACGUGAGUAACCUGCCCUCCACUUCGGGAUAACCUCGGGAAAUCGUGGCUAAUACCGGAUAUGAGCACUCAUCGCAUGGUGGGUGCUGGAAAGAUUUAUCGGUGGGGGAUGGACUCGCGGCCUAUCAGUUUGUUGGUGAGGUGAUGGCUCACCAAGACGAUGACGGGUAGCCGGCCUGAGAGGGCGACCGGCCACACUGGGACUGAGACACGGCCCAGACUCCUACGGGAGGCAGCAGUGGGGAAUAUUGCACAAUGGGCGAAAGCCUGAUGCAGCGACGCCGCGUGGGGGAUGACGGCCUUCGGGUUGUAAACCCCUUUCAGUAGGGAAGAAGCGAGAGUGACGGUACCUGCAGAAGAAGCGCCGGCUAACUACGUGCCAGCAGCCGCGGUAAUACGUAGGGCGCAAGCGUUGUCCGGAAUUAUUGGGCGUAAAGAGCUUGUAGGUGGCUUGUCGCGUCUGCCGUGAAAACCCGAGGCUCAACCUCGGGCGUGCGGUGGGUACGGGCAGGCUAGAGUGUGGUAGGGGAGACUGGAACUCCUGGUGUAGCGGUGAAAUGCGCAGAUAUCAGGAAGAACACCGAUGGCGAAGCCAGGUCUCUGGGCCAUUACUGACACUGAGAAGCGAAAGCAUGGGUAGCGAACAGGAUUAGAUACCCUGGUAGUCCAUGCCGUAAACGUUGGGCACUAGGUGUGGGGGACAUUCCACGUUUUCCGCGCCGUAGCUAACGCAUUAAGUGCCCCGCCUGGGGAGUACGG